ACCUUGUCCUUGUGUCAAUACUGAGCAUUAGCUGUGCCUUCUUGACUGCCACAGUUCAGGAUCAGCUUGAGGAAAGCCACCAGUGCUCAGGUUCACUGAAUGACAUGGACUGGACACACAGGCAGUGUCUUGGGCAGCAUUCUCAUUUUGAUACCUCUAAAACAACGACCACCAAACAGGAAAGAGAGGAGCGAGAUGAAUCACAAUGUUGUAUUUGCUUGUAUUGUCCACAUGGGCUGCUGCUGAGUUGGCAGGAAGGAAGAGGAUGGAAAACAAACCAGGACAAAAGUGAAAAAGGGUGAGAAGUACCUCAAUAUCGUGUUUCCAUCUACUUAUGAGAUGUAUACGUGUGCCUUGUUAGCAAUGAUCUUGUAAAGCAAAAGCUGAAGUUUUCAUAUCGGAGGAAACGUAUAUUGUUAAAUGAGCUGAGAACAUUCUCCCAAGGCUGUUCCAUUGCAAACUGUUACUGCUGGUCAGAAAACCAAAUAUCUAUUCUCCAGAGUUGGCUAUGUGCUCGAAUGUUUGAAGAUUUGGUUUCUUUUAUAACUUGAAUGCAAGGAAUUCUCCCCCUCCUACAUCUGAA
Molecule: long non-coding RNA, 583 nt
Organism: Pezoporus occidentalis (night parrot)
Lineage: Eukaryota; Metazoa; Chordata; Aves; Psittaciformes; Psittacidae
Exons: 3
Source: RefSeq, a predicted model, not a curated record